GGGGAGAUAGCUCAAUUGGUCAGAGCAUCGGUCUCAUAAACCGAGGGUUCUGGGUUCAAGUCCCAGUCUUCCUACCA
RNAcentral lists this transfer RNA (77 nucleotides) under Opitutia bacterium. RNAcentral's name for it is "tRNA-Met". It matches the Rfam family "tRNA". Rfam says of the family: Transfer RNA (tRNA) molecules are approximately 80 nucleotides in length. Their secondary structure includes four short double-helical elements and three loops (D, anti-codon, and T loops). Further hydrogen bonds mediate the characteristic L-shaped molecular structure. tRNAs have two regions of fundamental functional importance: the anti-codon, which is responsible for specific mRNA codon recognition, and the 3' end, to which the tRNAs corresponding amino acid is attached (by aminoacyl-tRNA synthetases). tRNAs cope with the degeneracy of the genetic code in two manners: having more than one tRNA (with a specific anti-codon) for a particular amino acid; and 'wobble' base-pairing, i.e. permitting non-standard base-pairing at the 3rd anti-codon position. Lineage: Bacteria; Pseudomonadati; Verrucomicrobiota; Opitutia. The record is from RNAcentral.